GAUGAAGAACGUAGCGAAAUGCGAUACGUAAUGUGAAUUGCAGAAUUCAGUGAAUCAUCGAGUCUUUGAACGCACAUUGCGCCCCCUGGUAUUCCGGGGGGCAUGCCUGUCCGAGCGUCAUUGCUGCCCUCAAGCACGGCUUGUGUGUUGGGCCUCCACCCCCCGGCUCCCGGGGGGCGGGCCCGAAAGGCAGCGGCGGCACCGCGUCCGGUCCUCGAGCGUAUGGGGCUUCGUCACCCGCUCCGUAGGCCCGGCCGGCGCCCGCCGGCGACCCCCCUCAAUCUUUCCAGGUUGACCUCGGAUCAGGUAGGGAUACCCGCUGAACUUAAGCAUAUCAAUAAGCGGAGGA
RNAcentral lists this unclassified non-coding RNA (349 nucleotides) under soil metagenome. Its description in RNAcentral is "partial contains 5.8S ribosomal RNA, internal transcribed spacer 2, and large subunit ribosomal RNA". The stretch from base 1 to 120 matches the Rfam family "5.8S ribosomal RNA", at positions 35 to 154 of the family's 154-position model. The record is from RNAcentral.